CCUACGGGUGGCAGCAGUGGGGAAUAUUGGACAAUGGGGGCAACCCUGAUCCAGCCAUGCCGCGUGUGUGAAGAAGGCCCUCGGGUUGUAAAGCACUUUCAGUGAGGAAGAACGCCUGGUGGUUAAUACCCAUCAGGAAAGACAUCACUCACAGAAGAAGCACCGGCUAACUCCGUGCCAGCAGCCGCGGUAAUACGGAGGGUGCGAGCGUUAAUCGGAAUUACUGGGCGUAAAGCGCGCGUAGGUGGCUUGAUAAGCCGGUUGUGAAAGCCCCGGGCUCAACCUGGGAACGGCAUCCGGAACUGUCAAGCUAGAGUGCAGGAGAGGAAGGUAGAAUUCCCGGUGUAGCGGUGAAAUGCGUAGAGAUCGGGAGGAAUACCAGUGGCGAAGGCGGCCUUCUGGACUGACACUGACACUGAGGUGUGAAAGCGUGGGUAGCAAACAGGAUUAGAUACCCCUGUAGUC
RNAcentral lists this ribosomal RNA (465 nucleotides) under Vreelandella stevensii. RNAcentral describes it as "partial 16S ribosomal RNA". It matches the Rfam family "Bacterial small subunit ribosomal RNA", at positions 338 to 795 of the family's 1533-position model. The record is from RNAcentral. Lineage: Bacteria; Pseudomonadati; Pseudomonadota; Gammaproteobacteria; Oceanospirillales; Halomonadaceae.